AUUGAACGCUGGCGGUAGGCCUAACACAUGCAAGUCGAACGGCAGCACAGUACGUGCUCGCUCUUACGGGGGCCGAGGGGCGGGUGGUGCAUAAGUACAUCCCAAUCUACUUUUUCUAACGGCCUAACGCGGGGGCACUUACGCUAUUCCCGCUUACGACCAACGGGUGAAAUCAUGGGAUCUCCCGCCCUCACACGAUUCGAUGUCGGAUUAGCUAGUUGGUGGGGUAAAGGCCUACCAAGGCGACGAUCCGUAGCUGGUCUGAGAGGAUGAUCAGCCACACUGGAACUGAGACACGGUCCAGACUCCUACGGGAGGCAGCAGUGGGGAAUAUUGGACAAUGGGCGAAAGCCUGAUCCAGCCAUACCGCGUGGGUGAAGAAGGCCUUCGGAUUGUAAAGCACUUUUGUUGGGAAAGAAAAGCAGUAGGUUAAUACCCCGCUGUUUUGACGGUACCCAAAGAAUAAGCACCGGCUAACUUCGUG
RNAcentral lists this ribosomal RNA (484 nucleotides) under uncultured bacterium. Its description in RNAcentral is "partial 16S ribosomal RNA". It matches the Rfam family "Bacterial small subunit ribosomal RNA", at positions 30 to 507 of the family's 1533-position model. The record is from RNAcentral.